UACGGAGGGUGCAAGCGUUGUUCGGAUUUAUUGGGCGUAAAGAGCUCGUAGGCGGUUUGUCGCGUCUGCCGUGAAAGUCCGGGGCUCAACUCCGGAUCUGCGGUGGGUACGGGCAGACUAGAGUGAUGUAGGGGAGACUGGAAUUCCUGGUGUAGCGGUGAAAUGCGCAGAUAUCAGGAGGAACACCGAUGGCGAAGGCAGGUCUCUGGGCAUUAACUGACGCUGAGGAGCGAAAGCAUGGGGAGCGAACAGG
RNAcentral lists this ribosomal RNA (253 nucleotides) under uncultured bacterium. RNAcentral describes it as "partial 16S ribosomal RNA". It matches the Rfam family "Bacterial small subunit ribosomal RNA", at positions 524 to 776 of the family's 1533-position model. The record is from RNAcentral.